This 221-nucleotide long non-coding RNA is filed under the name Lathyrus oleraceus (garden pea). Its description in RNAcentral is "Pisum sativum (pea) long non-coding RNA (PSAT_LNC001230)". The record is from RNAcentral. Lineage: Eukaryota; Viridiplantae; Streptophyta; Magnoliopsida; Fabales; Fabaceae.
UUAUAUUUUAUAAUUUUAUAAUUUUUGCUAUUAAAAAGUUUAAUCACAUGAUUAUUGUUUUUUUUUUAAUAUUUAUAAACCAAAAUCUAUCUUUUUUAUGAUUUUUUAUUUUAUUAAUUUGUAAAUAAAGUUAAAAUUAGUUACAAAAAUUGAUCAAUUAAUAAAAUUAUUGUAGUUAUUAAAUUUUGUAAUAAUUUUAUAUAUUUAAUAUCAUUUUUUUG